AGUGAACGCUGGCGGUAGGCCUAACACAUGCAAGUCGAACGGCAGCACAGUAAGAGCUUGCUCUUACGGGUGGCGAGUGGCGGACGGGUGAGGAAUACAUCGGAAUCUACUUUUUCGUGGGGGAUAACGUAGGGAAACUUACGCUAAUACCGCAUACGACCUACGGGUGAAAGCAGGGGAUCUUCGGACCUUGCGCGAUUGAAUGAGCCGAUGUCGGAUUAGCUAGUUGGCGGGGUAAAGGCCCACCAAGGCGACGAUCCGUAGCUGGUCUGAGAGGAUGAUCAGCUACACUGGAACUGAGACACGGUCCAGACUCCUACGGGAGGCAGCAGUGGGGAAUAUUGGACAAUGGGCGCAAGCCUGAUCCAGCCAUACCGCGUGGGUGAAGAAGGCCUUCGGGUUGUAAAGCCCUGUUGUUGGGAAAGAAAAGCAGCAGGUUAAUACCCCGCUGUUCUGACGGUACCCAAAGAAUAAGCACCGGCUAACUUCGUG
This 492-nucleotide ribosomal RNA is filed under the name uncultured bacterium. RNAcentral's name for it is "partial 16S ribosomal RNA". It matches the Rfam family "Bacterial small subunit ribosomal RNA", at positions 29 to 507 of the family's 1533-position model. The record is from RNAcentral.